AUUAACGUGAAGUAACACUUAUUAACGCUAAUAGCGAUGAAGAAUAUCUUAACUUUAUCUAUUAUCCUUUAUGUAGGUUACAUCAUAUGAGCCUCACGACAUUUCUCCUUAAACCGAAACUGUUUUUACAGAUUCGUUGUUCUACGCAAUGAUCACCCCAAUCAUUGCGUAUUUUUUUGCCUAAAAAUUUUA
This is a small RNA of Acinetobacter calcoaceticus, 192 nucleotides long. It matches the Rfam family "Aar sRNA". Lineage: Bacteria; Pseudomonadati; Pseudomonadota; Gammaproteobacteria; Moraxellales; Moraxellaceae. The record is from Rfam.